UACGGGGGGGGCAAGCGUUGUUCGGAAUUACUGGGCGUAAAGGGCUCGUAGGCGGCCAACUAAGUCAGACGUGAAAUCCCUCGGCUUAACCGGGGAACUGCGUCUGAUACUGGAUGGCUUGAGGUUGGGAGAGGGAUGCAGAAUUCCAGGUGUAGCGGUGAAAUGCGUAGAUAUCUGGAGGAAUACCGGUGGCGAAGGCGGCAUCCUGGACCGACAUUGACGCUGAUGAGCGAAAGCUAGGGGAGCAAACGGG
This 253-nucleotide ribosomal RNA is filed under the name uncultured bacterium. Its description in RNAcentral is "partial 16S ribosomal RNA". It matches the Rfam family "Bacterial small subunit ribosomal RNA", at positions 524 to 776 of the family's 1533-position model. The record is from RNAcentral.